UGGUAGGAAGGAAUGCACAACAAGGGAGGGGUAUAUUGUUGCAGGUAAACAACAAGGGAGAAAAGUGUAAUAGUGGAAACUAACAGAAGGGCAUAGAAAAGUCGAUCAGGGGAAGAGCAGAAAAAAAACAUAUCAGUUCAGGGUGAAGGGUAUAAGUGUGCAGUCAAAUGAAGAGUGAUUGAAGAAGAAGAAGAACACCACAGACAGUUUUACUACACUGCCCAGCAUUUACAAAAAUAAUAAAAAAAUCGCCCUAUCCCCCAACUAUCAACUAGUGGAUAAAAGACACCGUAGUCGAAAAAAAACAGAAUAACAACGAUAAAACUGCAUGAAAACACUAUAUGACAUGAAACAAGAAAAACAUAUAAACGAGUUAUAUGCUUAGAAAGGCUAACUGUACUAUUUUACUGAUGAAAAGUCCCAUAAAGACAGCAGUAAAUAGCCACCGGUCGAAAACAGAAAUAAAAGAUCCUCUACAAAGGUAUGGCGUGACUCCCCAUCAGCACGACACGACGCACAGGGCGGACCAAGGAGACUAUAAUACGUAUCUUAUAUAGUGGACUGUACGUGAUUUUGGCCGCGUUAUCCUUCCCCAGUGUUGUGGCGACAAGGGAGUGGUGACACCGGCAGCAGCUUCCAGGAGGUAAGAGGACAUGUUAUGAGAUUCUGUUGGUGAUUAAGACCAGCUAAUUCGUAGUGUACGUAGGUACUUGCAAAGACGAACAAUGUUACGCAAUGUUAUUACGUUCACGUUGAGAAUACGCCAAGCCCUUCAGCCACCAUAAUCUGUUAUGAACACGUGCCAUUCCUCCAAGACGUCCCCGAUCGUUCUUGCUCCCCCGCAAGACGCUGCUCAGCUGUCUUAUCAGUAGCAGUCAUCAGUGACGUCACAGUGGUCAACACAGGCCUGCUGGGGGGCACCGGCCAGCGGCGAUGGCCAUUUCUUGAGCUUCCUCCGGGUGACCCUGCCAGGUAGUGCACCAAGUGAACCUCCGCCGGGAACCUGGCGAGGGAGGAAUGAACUAAGGAUCGUCUUCUUGAACCUUUCGGCGCCCAGGCACAUAUAUGACUGAUGUGAGAGUCGUGGGUCCGUUGUUAAGGUGUCGCGUUUUGACCCACCUGUUGCCAUUCACGGUGUGCUCGGAGCCGAAGUGGAAGUGGACCUGCGAGAAGAUGUACUUGCCGGGCAGGUUCCCGCCAGACACAG
This is a long non-coding RNA of Eriocheir sinensis (Chinese mitten crab), 1207 nucleotides long. RefSeq lists it as uncharacterized. Lineage: Eukaryota; Metazoa; Arthropoda; Malacostraca; Decapoda; Varunidae. The transcript has 3 exons. The record is from RefSeq and is a predicted model, not a curated record.